CAGCCGCCGCGGUAAUACAGAGGGUGCGAGCGUUAAUCGGAUUUACUGGGCGUAAAGCGUGCGUAGGCGGCUAAUUGAGUCGGAUGUGAAAUCCCCGAGCUUAACUUGGGAAUUGCAUUCGAUACUGGUUAGCUAGAGUGUGGGAGAGGAUGGUAGAAUUCCAGGUGUAGCGGUGAAAUGCGUAGAGAUCUGGAGGAAUACCGAUGGCGAAGGCAGCCAUCUGGCCUAACACUGACGCUGAGGUACGAAAGCAUGGGGAGCAAACAGGAUUAGAUACCCCAGUAGUCCCUGUCUCUUAUAC
Molecule: ribosomal RNA, 301 nt
Filed under: uncultured bacterium
Lineage: Bacteria
Description: partial 16S ribosomal RNA
Rfam family: Bacterial small subunit ribosomal RNA
Source: RNAcentral